RNAcentral lists this long non-coding RNA (7117 nucleotides) under Chlamydomonas reinhardtii. Its description in RNAcentral is "long non-coding RNA (CREI_LNC000470)". Lineage: Eukaryota; Viridiplantae; Chlorophyta; Chlorophyceae; Chlamydomonadales; Chlamydomonadaceae. The record is from RNAcentral.
UUGGGACUACCCGUUUCCAAGCUCUGUUGCAGUUCCCUAGCGGGCCGGCCCAGCACUGCUGGAUGCCUGUGACAUGCGCCACAGCCGAACUUGCACAACGCCGCUCCCGGGCGGAGAGAUUGCAUGCACCGGAUACGGUCCUAGAGUGUAGGGACCCCGUAUGGCCACCAAUGUCCCAAUGCCCGGCCGCGUACCAGGGUGAUCAGGUCUGGACGCUGACGCGGGGACAACCAAUGAUGAGCGAUUCAGCCACGGAGGCUGGCUGCUGCUGCUGGCGCGAGGCAGGCUGACGCAGUCUAACGUAGUGGGAUGCUAACGUUUGGGAAGCGAAGGAACGGACAAGGCUAAUGCUCGCGAUGGGUUGGUUGACACAGUCUGAUACACAGUCUGCUAGCUUGCGCUGUUGGCAACACAACCAGCGAGUCAGGGACUCGCUGGCCCGGCAUACCCCUGCUGGACCUGUAGCGGCUCCCAUGCAGGACCGGGUUUGACACGCUGAGUCACACGCACUGAGUCACCCGACAGGCACCGGCAACAACCUACCGCUCAGCACAGCACACACAGCAGAGCCACCCCCAGGGGGGGGGGGUAUGCAGCAGCGGCAAACCACAGACACAACAUCACACGACAGCUGACAUGCGCCACAGCCGAACUUGCACAACGCCGCUCCCGGGCGGAGAGAUCCCCCCCACGACUGAAGACAGGGGAGUCAGCGAGACUGGCAAAGUCGGAAGCACAUACAGACGCACGGGACAGCAAACGCAUGACACCAGGAUGAUACGCGAGUGAGUUCAUGCUACACGACAAACGAGAACAGACACCUAGCUAGUCACACGUCACUGGGUUAGUCAAUCCUCAUUGCUGGCUUCGAGUCCAAGCCAGCUCCAAGCAGAUGUCCGUGGGUGCGCGCUGUUGGGAUGCCAGCGCGGCACACGCCGUUGGGAUGCCGGCGUGCGCGGUGUCCUGCCGUUGGGAUGCCGGCAGGGUUGGUGCAUCAGCGGCGAGGCUGAACACGGCGCUUGGCCGUGGGCUCGCCGCCCUGGGCAGGGGCUGAUGCAGGUGACGAUGGCACUGUUUGCCGUUGCAGGCGUUUUGCAUCGGCCAGGGUGAUGGCCUCGGCGGAGCCUCCCGGCCACUCCACCAUAAAGUAGAAGGGGCGUGACAAGGGCCCGCGGAAGCGCAGAGUGCCGUUCUGCAGCUGCCGCGGUGUUCCGGCUGGGCCAGGAACUGCCCGUACAACUGACACGCCGUCGAGGGUAGCUGCCUCCGCGUCGCGGCGUCGCGUGUCAGCGUUGGGGAACAGCACUGGGCCCGCCGAGGGCCGCUGCGGCGCGGGGCCAGUGGGUGGAGCCUUGCCCAGCUCCACACAGCCCGGGCACAUCCAGGCGCCAGGAGGCACCUUGCUGAGUGGCGGCGUGAGGCAGCGGAGGUGCCAGCCGGUGCCGCAGCCGUCACACAGCAGCAUGCGGGAGGGCGGCUGCGGGCUGCGGCACACUUCGCACUCCAGGUCGUUGCUGGUGCGUAGCAGCCGGGCAUCCUGAAUCGGGUCCAGGUUGGGCAGGUGGCACGGCACUAACUGCUCCACUCGCGCACGGAGGCGUGCGGUGUCGCGGCCGACUAGCGCGACCACGCCCAUGUCGCCCACAUGCUCCACGCGCAGCACCUGGUCGCGUACCGGCAUCUCCAACGUGUUGUCGGGAUUUGCGUUGCGCAGGUACACGUAGUCACCGGGCACAAACUCCAGUGCCCGCGCGCGGUAGCCGCCGCUGCGGGUGAGAGCGUAGCGCUGGGUGUCGCGGUGCUGUGCGAUGAGCAGGUUGCCGGCUGCGGCGGGCGCGUGCCGCCGCAGCCACUCCGAGCGCUGCAGGAGCGCCUCCGCGUAAGCUUGCCCACUGCCGUCGCCGGUGAAGGCUAGCUCGUGCUCCUCAAAGCGCGGGCGGACGGCAGGCGGGAUGAUGGGGUCCACGCCGUAGAGCAGCUUGUAGGGCGAGUAGCGGGUUGAAGCUUGAGGCGAGCAGCAGUAGGCCAGGGCGAGCCAAGGCAGCGCCUUAUCCAACGUGUCGUUGGACUGCGUGCUGCGGCAGUGCUUGCGCAGUGCCGCUUUCACAACCUGCACCAUGCGCUCCGCUAGGCCGUUGGCUUGCGGAUGGUCGGGCUGCGUGCGCCGGUGGUCGAUGGCGUUGGCCUCGCACAGCGCCUGGAACGGACCCUCAAACUCGGUACCGCGGUCAGUCGUGACCUCCGCGGGCGAGCCGAAGCGCGUCAGGAGCUCCACCAGCCCUCGUGCGGUCUCGCUGGCGGACUUGGUGGUGAGCGGGAAAAGCUCGAUCCACUUGGUGAAGUGCUCCACGCACACCAUGACGUAGGUGUAGCCAUCGGGGGAAGUCGGGUGCAAGUUGCCCGCCAGGUCGAUGCCCCAGCGGUAGAACAUGCCGCGGAUUGGCAGCGGCUGCAGUUGAAAAGGCCGCACCAUGCCUCCGGUGUUGGCCAUGUCGCACAGCUUGCAGCGCUGCACAACGCCUUGCACCGUCGCCCGCUGGCCGGCCCACCAGUAGCCCAGCUGGCACAGCGCCAAGGUGCGGCGCUCGCCGAGGUGUCCGAUCUCGUGCGUUUGCUGGACGAUGGCGUCACGGGCCUCCGGCGGCGGGCAGACGCGUGUGUUGCCGUCGGGCAUGAGGCGGAUGAGCUGCUCUCCGGUCCAGCGGUAGCUGGCGGCGCGGCGCUGCACACGUUGCCGCUCCUCGCGGCUGAGGUUGUCAGACUGGGCGCCCAGGCGCAGCAGGUCCAUGACGGGAGCGUCGUUCCAGACGUCUGCGGUGUCCGGGGUUGACGGGUCCAGGGCUGCGGAGGCGAUGGUGGUGCUGACGGCGGCCGGGGCCGCCGACGCCGGCAGUGCGGCAUCAGCCCAGUCCGCUUGCUCCGCAGCUUCUGCCACUGCGGCGUAGACAUGCAGCUGCGCACCCAUGCGCGCCCCGAGGAGACGCUGGUGAAGCAGGGCAAACGCGAGAGUGGUCUCGGUCGCGUCCAGCAGUGGUGACGGCUCGUCUGACAGCGCCAGCGCUGCAAAGGCGGUCUCCAGGUGGUCUGCUGGGCCCAAGGCGGCAGCUCCCCCCCCCCCAGCGUGGAGGCCGGGGCGUCGAUCUGACGAGGGGGAAGCGGCUGCAUGUCGUGGCGCGUGAAGAAGAGGCGGUGGAGAGCCGUGGCGGCAGCCAAGGCGGCCGUGAAGACAGUCGGCGGCGUGUGGCGGCGGAGCAGCUGGACGGCGAAGGAGGCGGGCAAGGAGAGGGAGGAGUGGUGGGUGGAGACGGCGAGCCAGUCCGCUGCGUCCGGGGCGCAGGGCAGGCCAUCAGGGCCGGCACGCAGCGGUGGCGGCUCCGGGGCGGCGGGCGGUGGGGAAGGCGGGGGCAGCGCGGCGAGGGGUUGGCCGGGGGCCUGCAGCGCCACGUAAGGAGGAGGGAGGGGCCGUUGCGCAGCACCAGGCGUGCGGCCGUGCGGCAGCACGGCAGCAAGCAGGCGGCUGGAAAGAGGGCGGAGGUGAGAGAGGGCGGAGUCGACUUGGGAUGAGUCGGCCAGGUUGGUGUAGAGGGAGGUGACGCGAUGCGCGGGGCUGCCGGCCUGUACAGCGUCAAUGCCGGCGGGCGGCCCGAAGGGCGGCGAGGCGUCUGGUGACUCCGCACACCAGGGACCCUCCGCGAGGAAGGCGAGCUGGGGAAGGCGGCGGCUGGCUAGCUGCUGCUGCAGGCCGCCGAGGAGCUGGAGGGCGAGCGAGUCGCGCCAGAGCGCGUGCGAGGCCCAGCUGGUGACCACAAGCCAUUGGCUGCCGUCGUGCAACCGCAGCUGCUCCGCUCCCUCCGGCCCGAGUGCCCAGGGCACCAGGUCCGCCGGUGUGAGGCCGAGGCGGUCGGGGCCGGAGUGCAGCUGCCACGACUGCGGCGGCAGCAGCGGUGCAUGCUGCGUGGAGAGCAUGGGCAGCAGCCGGGCGACAGAGGCACGCACGGCGGGGUCGGUGUCGACGUGGACGUAGCGCCGGAUGCGGAAGCCCAUCCGCAAGGCGGCUUGCAGCCCUGAGGCCAGGCCGCCGGGCAGCUCCAGCAGCGUGAUGCCCGCAUCCCCCAUGGCGGCUGCGAAGAAGUUGUGCUGCACCAGCCGCGUGUCCAGGCCCAGGACGUCGCCCGUGCCGGAGCGCAGGCGGAGGGGCAGUGGCGGGGACCGUGGCAGCUGCCGAAGCUGCACACGCGCGGCUUGGAUGACAGUCGGCCAGCGGGGCUUCCGUGGCGUCAGUGGGGCCGCCGUUGUGUCCGGCAAACAGCUCGUUCGCGUCAGGCACGAUGGCGGUGGCGUUGACCGAGACCACGGAGGGCAGCGCCUGCAGCUGUGCCCAGCGGGCCCGCGCGCCUUGGAUGAGCGCGCCGGCAGGGUAGACCAGGGCCGGGGCGGUGAUGGCAGCCGCGAGCACCCGCUGAGGUGCUGGCCGGCCAUCGGCGCCGAUGGGCACGCCCUCCACAGGCGCCCCCCCAGCGUGAGGCUCCGGUGCCCCCCCAGUGGCGGCUGUGGGUGCCCCCCCAGCGUCGGCUGUGGGUGCCCCCCCAGCUGCAGCUCCCGGCAGCCAGGCGGCGGCCGCCGGGUCCCCGUAGGCCAGGAGUAGCUUGGACUCCAUGAUUGUGAGCUCGUCUGCGGUGUGCGGGCGCGGGCGCUCAUAGAUUGCACGGCCGUGGCGAAGCUCAAGGCCGACGUCGCCACUGUAGCCCACAAGAUCUGCUAACUUGUAGGCGAAGGUGCUCGUGCUGGCGUUCAUGAAGGCCAGAAUUGCGUCACGUUGGGAUGCCGUGACGUCUUGUCGGUCGCAGUGGACCCACCCAUCAGGCUGCCGCUCGAACCGGCCGUCAGGCGGGAGCGAGCGAGGGCCCUCGGGUGUGAAGCUGCCCGGGGCAGAGGCGCCGGCUGGCGCCUCAUCUCCUGCUACUGCCACUGCAGCUGCCGCUGCUGGUUGCGUGCUGCCCGAGGCACUUGAGGUGAAGGCGGUGGCGGUGGCCGCCAACAACCCAAGGAAUGCGUCACGUUGGGAGGCCGUGACGUCGGGACACUCGCAGUAGGCCCACCCAUCUGGCUGCCGCUCAAGGCGGGAGCCGGCGUGCGCGGAGCUGCCAGGCGCUGAUGCGCUAUCAGACGGGUUGACGCCUGCUGACGGCUGCGCGCCGUCUGGGGCGCUCAUGGCGAGCGGCCGCCGGCCACAGUGGCGGGCGGCGGCUUAGGCGAGGAAACGCUGGUGGCGGCGGCGUUGGCUGAGCUGCUGCUGUGCACGCGGCCCAGCGGUCCCGCCCCCCCCAGCAGCGAAGGCGGGGCCGCCACGCAGCGAGAGGUGGUGAUGGAGGAGGCAGGAGCAGAAGCAGGAGGGGCAGGAGAAGAAGUGGCGAGGAGCGGCAGGACCUCUGAGUUGGCCGGCCGCAUCUCGAAGUGCUCAAAGCCGAGCGGCAGGCGCGAGCCGGCCGCGGUACCGGUGGCCUGUGUGGCUUGAGGUGUGCCGCCAGCGGGGGCGGCACGGGAGGAGGCGUCGCCGGCUGCGGCGCCAGCCGUGGGGAGUGCGGCGGCAGCGCCGAUGGCGGAGGCGGCGACGCCGGCGCUGCUCUGGGAUGCAGCAGCGCCCAUGGUGCUGCCUGAGGCAGGACCAGGUGAAGGGGUGAAGACGUAUGCAGCGUCUUGAGGGAUGGAGGCGAAGCCACACGAGGGUGCGGCGGUGAGAAUGGCGCUCUGGGAUGCAGCGCCGAGGAAGUCAGAGGAUGCAGAUGCACCGUUGGCGGCGGCGCAGGGUGCAGCAGCGGGCGCAGUGGAGUCGCCAGGGCUGCUGUGGCCCGUGAGGAUGGGGAAGGCGUAGGCGUAAGGCGCGUACAUGGAGACGGCAGAGCUGACCGGGUCGACGGCAGCGGCGUCACUGCUGGGCGCGGCGCUGGCGGCGGCGGCGGGAGCGCUGGCGGCUGCGGGCAGGGAGCUGCUGGAGGAGGCAGCUGGCGCCGACAGUGUUGCUGAGGCGGGCGUGAGGGCGCCAAUGGCCGCGUGCGCGGCCUCAGGCGCGGCGUCGCUAGCGCUGUCGGAGCCGAGGGCCACAGCGUGUGCGGCCACGCCGCGACCUCCCCCGCGGCCGCCGUGGCGGCCGCCGCGGCCAUCACCGCGGCCACCGCCCAUGCCACCACUGCUCCAGUGACGAGCGCUCCAUGUACACUGAGCUGGCUAGUGCUGCCGGCUCGCUGGCGGGCGAAUCCGUAUGGGCAGAGUAACCAUCAGCGGUAGAGUUGCGAUGACCUGGCCUGCCAUAUGCAAUGUGUCCCGAGAACCUGCCAAUAAAGUGCGCCGAGUGUAGCGAGCUUCGCGAUCGUCAGCCGGCGAAGUGAAAGUGGGCGCCGCGCCCGACUCGACGGAGCCAUACGUUCCGGCGAGACCACUGAUGCAUCUGACAUGCUUCGUGGAUGUAGAUAAGCGAGAGGAAGGGAUGAAUGAGCAAAGCCUUGUUGUCCAGUGAGAAGUAGCCGCAGAGAAGAAGGGCGAGAGCGCAGUGGGAUGCAGCGCCGAGUUCGCCAAUAGCAACUGAGGGUUGUGUUGCAUGUACCGGAUACGGUCCUAGAGUGUCUAAGGGACCCCGUAUGGCCACCAAUGUCCCAAUGCCCGGCCGCGUACCAGGGUGAUCAGGUCUGGACGCUGACGCGGGGACAACCAAUGAUGGGCGAUUCAGCCACGGAGGCUGGCUGCUGCUGCUGGCGCGAGGCAGGCUGACGCAGUCUAACGUAGUGGGAUGCUAUUGCUAACGUUUGGGAAGCGAAGGAACGGACAAGGCUAAUGCUCGCGAUGGGUUGGUUGACACAGUCUGAUACACAGUCUGCUAGCUUGCGCUGUUGGCAACACAACCAGCGAGUCAGGGACUCGCUGGCCCGGCAUACCCCUGCUGGACCUGUAGCGGCUCCCAUGCAGGACCGGGUUUGACACGCUGAGUCACACGCACUGAGUCACCCGACAGGCACCGGUAACAACCUACCGCUCAGCACAGCACACACAGCAGAGCCACCCCCAGGGGGGGGGGGUAUGCAGCAGCGGCAAACCACAGACACAACAUCACACGACACCUGGG